CGUUUUGCUAAUCAGGUUUAUGUGUGUGCAAAAAAACAAAAAAGACGACUAAAGAGUAAUGCCAUUGUUUUUAGAAUUUUGUAGACCCCUUAAGAUGCCAAAAGAUUUGACAUUUUAAAGAUUUCAACGUCUGGGAAAACUUUCACAAGCCACCGAAACUUACACUGGAGAGUGUAAUUGGAUUUGAGAUUUAAAGACAGAUUCGAGAGGAAAAUGCGAGUGUAUGUGGGCAAAAUUACUAAUUGUUGAUGAGGCUUGAGGCGAAGCAGCAAGCGAAUGGAGUCAGUAAGCAAAUCAAAUCAAAAUGCCUGCAAUAAUAUCUCAAUCAGCUCCACGUAUCGUAAACUGAAAUUCGUGUAAUUCGGUAGAAGCCGCCAAAAAAGAAGUUGUACAUAAGAUCGGUCAAAAAAAAAAGGGGAAAU
This is a long non-coding RNA of Drosophila albomicans, 422 nucleotides long. RefSeq lists it as uncharacterized. The transcript has 3 exons. The record is from RefSeq and is a predicted model, not a curated record. NCBI's taxonomy places the organism in Eukaryota, Metazoa, Arthropoda, Insecta, Diptera, Drosophilidae.